Molecule: long non-coding RNA, 310 nt
Organism: Magallana angulata
Lineage: Eukaryota; Metazoa; Mollusca; Bivalvia; Ostreida; Ostreidae
Exons: 3
Source: RefSeq, a predicted model, not a curated record
GUGACAGAAAGGCAUCGCAUUUGAAAUGUUCCAUAAAGCGCUACAUCAAUGAGGGACAUGAUGUUACUUGUGCUACAGAUAUGAAAAGAGCUAUAGAUUCACAGCAACAUGGACAGUACUUAGUGAAGGUUGUUAGCCCUACUGUGGUAAUUGACGGAGACAAGCCCAUCCGAAGUAUUCCAUCCAUCACAAAAUUUCACAAUUUUGUGUUUGAUGCCCCUGGCCUCACUGUUUGGAAAGCUUUCGAGAUUGGGACAGGAAAACAGUAUCCUUGGGAUUUUCUCAUCCAAGGUAAAAUUAGCACAACCCC